GAUGAAGAACGCAGCGAAAUGCGAUAAGUAAUGUGAAUUGCAGAAUUCAGUGAAUCAUCGAAUCUUUGAACGCACAUUGCGCCCGCCAGUAUUCUGGCGGGCAUGCCUGUUCGAGCGUCAUUUCAACCAUCAAGCCCCCGGCUUGUGUUGGGGACCUGCGGCUGCCGCAGGCCCUGAAAACCAGUGGCGGGCUCGCUAGUCACUCCGAGCGUAGUAAUACAUCUCGCUCAGGGCGUGCUGCGGGUUCCGGCCGUUAAAAGCCUUAUUUACCCAAGGUUGACCUCGGAUCAGGUAGGAAGACCCGCUGAACUUAAGCAUAUCAAUAAGCGGAGGA
This 334-nucleotide unclassified non-coding RNA is filed under the name soil metagenome. Its description in RNAcentral is "partial contains 5.8S ribosomal RNA, internal transcribed spacer 2, and large subunit ribosomal RNA". The stretch from base 1 to 120 matches the Rfam family "5.8S ribosomal RNA", at positions 35 to 154 of the family's 154-position model. The record is from RNAcentral.